Molecule: ribosomal RNA, 332 nt
Filed under: uncultured soil bacterium
Lineage: Bacteria
Description: bacterial SSU rRNA
Rfam family: Bacterial small subunit ribosomal RNA
Source: RNAcentral
AGAUUGAACGCUGGCGGCAUGCCUAACACAUGCAAGUCGAACGGGAGUAGCAAUACUCUAGUGGCGGACGGGUGAGGAAUACGUAGGAAUUUGCCCUUAAGUGGGGGAUAACCCGGGGAACCCGGAUUAAUACCGCAUGACCUCGAAAGAGCAAAGUGGGGGAUCGCAAGACCUCACGCUUUUGGAGAAGCCUACGUCGGAUUAGCUAGUUGGUGAGGUAAUGGCUCACCAAGGCGACGAUCCGUAACUGGUCUGAGAGGAUGAUCAGUCACACCGGACUGAGACACGGUCCGACUCCGUACGGGAGCAGCAGGUGGGGAAUACGUUGGAAC